RNAcentral lists this ribosomal RNA (388 nucleotides) under uncultured bacterium. Its description in RNAcentral is "bacterial SSU rRNA". It matches the Rfam family "Bacterial small subunit ribosomal RNA", at positions 28 to 417 of the family's 1533-position model. The record is from RNAcentral.
GACGAACGUUGGCGGCGUGCUUAACACAUGCAAGUCGAGCGGUAAGGCCCUUUCGGGGGUACACGAGCGGCGAACGGGUGAGUAACACGUGGGUGACCUGCCCUCAGCUCUGGGAUAAGCCCGGGAAACUGGGUCUAAUACCGGAUAUGACUUCAUGACGCAUGUUGUGGAGUGGAAAGCCUUGUGCGGCUGAGGAUGGGCCCGCGGCCUAUCAGCUUGUUGGUGGGGUGAUGGCCUACCAAGGCGACGACGGGUAGCCGGCCUGAGAGGGCGACCGGCCACACUGGGACUGAGAUACGGCCCAGACUCCUACGGGAGGCAGCAGUGGGGAAUCUUGCGCAAUGGGCGAAAGCCUGACGCAGCGACGCCGCGUGAGGGAUGACGGCCU